RNAcentral lists this ribosomal RNA (1785 nucleotides) under Triticum aestivum (bread wheat). RNAcentral's name for it is "partial small subunit ribosomal RNA". Lineage: Eukaryota; Viridiplantae; Streptophyta; Magnoliopsida; Poales; Poaceae. The record is from RNAcentral.
AUGGGGGAGCAGCAGCAGCACAAGAAGAGGCCACGGUGCUCCGCGAGCGCGGAGGGGAGCGGCGGCAAGAAGUCGAGCGUCCUGGCGCUAUCCAGCAGUCCGGUGGCCACCGCGGCACCAUCGGCACCGGCGGCGCCCAGCCCUGUUGCCACGGCAAAGCAGGGCCCCGCGGUGGCGGUGACCAGUCCCCUGGCCGCCAUGCCGCCGGCGCCGGCCGCGCCCAGUCCAGCGGCCACGACGGAGGGAGACAUGACUACGCCAGCCGCCACGGUCGUGGUGACCAGCCCAGUGGCCGCCAUGGCGCCGGCGCCGGCGGCCCCCGGUUCAGCUGCCAUGGUGGUGGACCUGGAGCCGACCAGUCCAGUGGCCACUGUGAAGCCAGUCCGCGUGGUGAAGCCGGAAGACGAAGUGGCCGAACAAGAAGAUGCGGCAAUGUUAGCCGGGGCGGCGGAAGAUGUGGAGGUCGCCAUCUUGGCCUUGCCGAAGAAGUCGUUUCACUGCGCCGCCUGUCUUUGCCCCCUCAAGCCUCCAGUAUUCAGGUGCGAGAACGAGCACUUCGUGUGCCACGCCUGCGGCGGCGACGGCGGCGCGAACAAGCGCUGCGGUCCAUGCGGGCGCGACGUGUCCUACACCCACUCCCGCUUCAUGAACGGCGUGGUCGACGCCUACAAGCGGCGGCAAGAAGUCGAGCGUCGCGGCGCUAGCCCGCAGUCCGGCGGCCACCGUGGCACAGGCGGCGCUGGCGCCCAGCCCCGUUGCCAUGGCAAAGCCAGCCGCCACCGUGGCGGAGACCACUCCUCUGGCCGUCAUGCCGCCGACGCCUACGUCCCCCACGGUGUCGGACCUGGCAGCAGCGGCACCCAGUUCAGCGGCCCUUGCGACGCAAGAUGCCACGGUAGAGGACCUGGUGGUGACCAGUCCAGUGGCCGCCAUGGCGCCGGCGCCGGCGGCCCCAGUCCAGUAGCCAUUGUGAAGCCGGUGCGCGUGGUGAAGCCGGAGGAUGAAGGCGCCGAAGUGGCCGAACAAGAACAUGGGGCAAUGGCGGAGGAAGAGGGGGAGGCCGUCAAUCUGGACCUGCCGAAGAAAUUGUUCCACUGCGCCGCCUGUCCUGGCCCCCUCAGGCCUCCAGUUGUCAAGUGCGAGAACGAGCAUCUCGUGUGCCACGCCUGCGGUGGCGACGGCGACGGCGGCGGCGGCGCGACCAAGCACUGCGUGGCGUGCCCCUACAAGCGUUUCGGCUGCGCGAGGUCCAUGGCCUACCACUCGGCCGCCGACCACGCGGCCAGCUGCAGGCACGCGCCCUGCUACUGCUUCGACUGCCGGUUCGACGGCUCGCCUGUGAGCCUCGUGCGCCACCUGACGGCGCGGUCCGGGCAACACUCGUGGCCGGUGGAGAAGAUCGAGUACGAGGUGGCCAAACCGUUCGUCGUGCCUGCAUCGUCGGAGGACCAGCGCCGCCUGCUGGUCGCGGAAGACAACUGUGUGUUCCUCCUGGGCGUGGGCGCCGGCAGGGACCCGGGCGGCCGCCGUCCCGUCAACGUCGUCUGCGUCCGGGGCAACGCGCGGCCUCUGUACACGGGCGUGCUCUGGGUAGACGGUCCUCCGGCGGCCCCGGGCCAGCCACUCACGAGCAGCUUCCAGCUGAAGGCGAUGGUGGCGAGCUGCUCCGUCCCCGGCGCCGUGGACAUGGAGCAGGGUUGGCUCCACGCGCAUGCCAACCCCAACAUGCUGCACGGAGAGUCCGGCGAGCUUCAUCUGCGCCUUUGUCUCACCAAGCUCUCCUGA